Molecule: long non-coding RNA, 1512 nt
Filed under: Monodelphis domestica (gray short-tailed opossum)
Lineage: Eukaryota; Metazoa; Chordata; Mammalia; Didelphimorphia; Didelphidae
Description: lncRNA (ENSMODG00000032945.2)
Source: RNAcentral
CGGACCUAGGGGCGCUGAAAGGAGAGCCGGGCGCGGAGAGGAGUGGAGUAGGGCACCAGCCGCUAGGCUUGCGUGCGUGCGGGUGGCGGCAGCAGCGGUGACUGAGGAGGAGGUGGAGGAGAAGAAAGAAGAAAAGGAUAGGAAAGGAGAGGCAACGAGGCGCGGCCGGGGUGAUGGUGCAGGUGCCUGGAGCCGGCGCCGUGCUGCCCCAUUGAGGGGCGCCUGUUCUGGUCCGGGUCCGCAGCAGCGCCGCCGCUGCCGCCGCCGCGUCGCUCCCGGGGGCGGGCUGGCUGGCGGACGGGCGGGAAGAUGCUGAGCAGGUUGAUGAGCGGCAGCAGCAGGAACCUGGAGCGCGAGUACAGCUGCACCGUGCGGCUCCUGGACGACAGCGAGUACACCUGCACCAUCCAGAUAACCCUUGCAUCGAAUCCCUCAGAGGGUGACUUGAAGAGAAGUGAUGAUGGUUUUCUUUCUGCCCAAUCAUUUUGUCAACUUUGGAUAAGUAAACCAAGAGCUAUGAUGUGUUUCUGAUACCUUUUGAAAAUGGAUAAUGAAACCCUGACUAUAGUUACUUAUAACAGCCUAGAAAAUCUGCCAUAUUUUCUGCAUGUUUACAUAUGGAGCAAUAACAGUAAAUGAAAACUUACUGAAACUACUUCUAGUCUUUUUUGGGGAUUGAGACUAUUUCUGAAGUAUUGAUUAUAUCAUGAAUGCCUUACAGUAUUCCAAAACCACUAUAGAGUUGGAUUAUCAUUAGAAGAAUUGAAAAUACUACAUUUGUUGUUGGUUUGGUUGCAUCACAGGGUCAAAUCUCAAGCACUGUCAUGACCUUUAUAAUAGCCUAUUCAGUGAAAAGCAAUAGGCAUUUAUUCAGCAUGCUUUAAUUCACACAGAAGGCUAGAUGGCACGACUUCAACUGUGCAUGGAAGGGAGUAUGGAAAGAGAAGAAAGAGCAACCAGGGAAGGACACUAAGAAACCUUCUCCUCUUUCCUCCAAGUAGGUUGGCUGCUGACUCUUCUAAGGUGGAAUAAGGACAUGGAAGGGUUCAAUCAGGGAUGUUACCAAAGCUUUGGGCUCUAUGAGCUUCAAGUCACAGCAGGAGUAGAAUGUUAUCCAUGAAGAGACUUUUUUCUGUAAUGGCAAUAUGCCAAGCUCUUGUCAGUCUUCCUUUGAUGGAUGUUACUCUUUCAACUCCAUCAGAGCGGCUUGGAAAAUGGACAUGAGGACUAAGGAUUUUUAGGGAAAAGUCAGGGUCUUAGUUGAUUCCCUAAAAGGCCAGAAGUUUCUAACAUGGAAGGUUCCAUACAUAGAAUAUUCUAGAAAAGGGAAUGUGCCAAUAAGGAGAAGGGGAAAUAUGUAUAAAAGAAGAGCCAAUCUAUUGCAACCACAAAUUUCCUCAUAAAAUAUGAAUGACAAGGCUAAUAGUAAAAAAGGUUUUAUUUCUUCAAAUAAUUUUAAUUUUUUGUUAUUCCAAACUUAACACCAAUAAACAUUUUAAUAUGCAAAUGACA